Molecule: long non-coding RNA, 2338 nt
Organism: Rattus norvegicus (Norway rat)
Lineage: Eukaryota; Metazoa; Chordata; Mammalia; Rodentia; Muridae
Source: Ensembl
ACUAACCCUAAGGGCACCCAAAGAAAUGAAAUUUGGCAAAUGGAUGUUCUCCAUUUUACAGAGUUUGGAGAAGAAAAGCUGUGGGUUCCUUCCAGGCUGAUAAAGAUCAGACAUGACAAGGGGAGACCUCCUGAAGUCCUCGGCAACACAGAAGAAAAGGGAGACUAAGACAAUCAACAAAUAGGUGAUGUAUAUAUGAGGAUGUCUAGGUCUCCGUGUAUGAACUGGCUAAAGUGUCUAUAAACAGCCAGUAACAUUUUGAGUACGAAUUUCUCAUAACUUGUUAUUACAUGCAUCCUGUAAAAUGGCAUGUAUGACAAAAUUAUGUUACAGUUUGAUUAUAUGAUCAAACUAACCUGAAGAAAGGCAGUCACCUUUCUUUGUUGAUCUUUAUUUUCUAAGCUGUGCACCCUGCUUACUCCAUGUGGAUGCGCUUACAGAACUAUAUGAUGCUUGUAAAGUUUGUGUGCUGCAGGAUGAAAGAAGAGAAAGACAGCCCUGAAAUGUUCCACACUCUGGGAUGCUGAGAUUCCGGGACCUUCCAGUCCAACUUCGUGUUUGAUUCUCCCUCAAUGACACUGAAGCUGCUUCAUUUAAAGGCCUGCUUUCAGAACUUUUCCAGAAUGGCCAGCUUACUUAUCCAGCCCUUCAGACUGUCAUAGUCAAGAGAACUCAAGAAGAACUGAGAAGGAAAGGCAUAGCAGUGGGAGUGAGAGCAUUAUGACUGGAACAUCAGAGCAGGCAGAAGGAGCAAGAUGAGGAGAAGAAAAGAGCAGAGAGACCUUUUCAGAGACCAAGAGAAAUCUUUCUUAGAGAACAUUUUGGAGAGUCUUUAGAAUUUUUUGAAAGGAGAAUUUUUGUAGAAACAUGGUGGAGAACUAAGGAACUUAGAAAUAAAGGCUAAAAUAACUUUUGAACAUGUCCAUUGUUCUUCCUGUGACUUCAACUAGCAUGCUGGCAGCUAGAGCUGAGCAGUUUCUGUAAAGACAGAACAAAGGCUGCAUUACUCAAUCACCCUGCUUUGCUCUGAGGUGCUAAACGCCAGAGACUACAGUUUCUGGCCUCAGAAGAACUCAAAAGGCAGGUCAGCUACCGCAGCAGAGUGCCUUAGACUUAGAAAGGUAAACAUUUUCCUAUCCAACCGCAACCCUAAAUAUCUCGCCCCUGCUGAGGCUCUUCUUCCUUGGCUUACAAGAGAGAAAAAGAGAGAAAGAACAGCCACGAAGGCCCCAUGCAGUGGUUGCUUGAAAGCCUUGAGUUCAAAGCAGAAGAAUCGAAUGACCUUUGGAGACGAUGCACUGUGACCUCACAUCUCGCCAUGCUAGGCCCCCAGCCUUUGUCUUUCCAGGAGACCAGCAGAACAGGCCUUCUCACAGGACUUGUUCACACAGCAGAAGGGACUUGGCCAAAGCACAGGUGCUCUCUGCAUCUUCCGGUGAAUCUCCCACCUGGCUCUAUGUGUUGCUUGUAAGGUUUACAGAAUAAAGCAUAGAAGACCAGGAGGCCAACCUUGACAGGAUUUACCUUCAGAGAUGCUGAGGUACUGAGACCUGCGGUUCCAGCUCCCUGACUGAUCCUGCCCCAAACUGAUGCUGUUUCCAGAGAAUUGUGUCUACAACGGUUUCAGGAAGGAAUGCUAAUCCCAGAUAUCCUUGGUCCAUCCUUUAGACUGGUCCAGUCAGGACUUUAAUUAAACCCUAAACUUUCUCAACACACAGAGAUUGGACAACAAAUCCAGCUACAGUUAGCUUUCGUAAGAUUAACCAAUUUUUAAUGUUCUUGGACCCUAAAAAGGAAUUUUUUUGCAAUUAUCAGAAGACCAUCAUCUCAGGCCCUUAAGCUGGGGGUAAAUGGUUCUGGUCAUUUUAUGAGUUAUAGAUAUGCUGUCAUUUUAGAGGAUGAUUGAAAGUGGAGAAAAUGAAACAGGGAGCCUGGCCUCAGGCAAUUCUCUCUUCCCUUUCCUCUCCUACAUACUUCCUUCUUUCCUAAAGGGAAGGGGGUGGAGAAGAAAAAAUAAGGACACAGAAAUAUUGUAAGAAAUUAGAUAAUUGGGGUAGAUUAUUAAACCUACACUUAAACCGAAAAAUAUUUUAUACCCAUAAUCGUACAUUGGUAGAGACCUUUAAACUUUGAUGAAAUAUUAUAUUUUGUUACAUUGGUAUUUUGUGUAUUAAUACAGGUGUAAACUUUACAUUAAAUCUUUUUUUUCAUGUUUAUUAACUUGGGUAUUUCUUAUUUACAUUUCGAUUGUUAUUCCCUUUCCCGGUUUCUGGGCCAACAUCCCCCUAACUCCUUCAACUCCCCUUUUGUAUGGGUGUUCCCCUCCCUAUCCUCCCCC